Molecule: ribosomal RNA, 254 nt
Filed under: uncultured bacterium
Lineage: Bacteria
Description: partial 16S ribosomal RNA
Rfam family: Bacterial small subunit ribosomal RNA
Source: RNAcentral
UACGUAGGGGGCAAGCGUUGUCCGGAUUUAUUGGGCGUAAAGCGCUCGCAGGCGGCCUGGCCAAGUCGUGCGUGAAAUCUCCCGGCUCAACUGGGAGCGGUCGUGCGAUACUGGUCGGCUCGAGGCCGGUAGGGGGGAGUGGAAUUCCGGGUGUAGUGGUGGAAUGCGUAGAUAUCGGGAGGAACACCAGUAGCGAAGGCGGCUCGCUGGGCCGUUCCUGACGCUGAGACGCGAAAGCUAGGGGAGCGAACAGG